RNAcentral lists this transfer RNA (77 nucleotides) under Bacteroidales bacterium. Its description in RNAcentral is "tRNA-Pro". It matches the Rfam family "tRNA". Rfam says of the family: Transfer RNA (tRNA) molecules are approximately 80 nucleotides in length. Their secondary structure includes four short double-helical elements and three loops (D, anti-codon, and T loops). Further hydrogen bonds mediate the characteristic L-shaped molecular structure. tRNAs have two regions of fundamental functional importance: the anti-codon, which is responsible for specific mRNA codon recognition, and the 3' end, to which the tRNAs corresponding amino acid is attached (by aminoacyl-tRNA synthetases). tRNAs cope with the degeneracy of the genetic code in two manners: having more than one tRNA (with a specific anti-codon) for a particular amino acid; and 'wobble' base-pairing, i.e. permitting non-standard base-pairing at the 3rd anti-codon position. Lineage: Bacteria; Pseudomonadati; Bacteroidota; Bacteroidia; Bacteroidales. The record is from RNAcentral.
CGGGGUGUAGCGCAGUCCGGUUAGCGCACCUGCUUUGGGAGCAGGGGGUCGNNGUGGUUCGAAUCCACUCACCCCGA